This 253-nucleotide ribosomal RNA is filed under the name uncultured bacterium. RNAcentral's name for it is "partial 16S ribosomal RNA". It matches the Rfam family "Bacterial small subunit ribosomal RNA", at positions 524 to 776 of the family's 1533-position model. The record is from RNAcentral.
GACAGAGGUGCCGAGCGUUAGGCGGAAUCACUGGGCUUAAAGCGUGUGUAGGCGGAGUUCUAAGUACCUUGUGAAAUCCCACGGCUUAACCGUGGAACUGCUUGGUAUACUGGUUCUCUUGGGCCAUCUAGGGGCUACUGGAACAAACGGUGGAGCGGUGAAAUGCGUAGAUAUCGUUUGGAACGCCAAUGGUGAAAACAAGCAGCUGGGGAUGUGCCGACGCUGAGACACGAAAGCCAGGGGAGCGAACGGG